GAUGAACGCUGGCGGCGUGCCUAAUACAUGCAAGUCGAGCGAACAGACGAGGAGCUUGCUCCUCUGACGUUAGCGGCGGACGGGUGAGUAACACGUGGAUAACCUACCUAUAAGACUGGGAUAACUUCGGGAAACCGGAGCUAAUACCGGAUAACAUGUUGAACCGCAUGGUUCAACAGUGAAAGACGGUCUUGCUGUCACUUAUAGAUGGAUCCGCGCCGUAUUAGCUAGUUGGUAAGGUAACGGCUUACCAAGGCAACGAUGCGUAGCCGACCUGAGAGGGUGAUCGGCCACACUGGAACUGAGACACGGUCCAGACUCCUACGGGAGGCAGCAGUAGGGAAUCUUCCGCAAUGGGCGAAAGCCUGACGGAGCAACGCCGCGUGAGUGAAGAAGGUCUUCGGAUCGUAAAACUCUGUUAUUAGGGAAGAACAAAUGUGUAAGUAACUAUGCACGUCUUGACGGUACCUAAUCAGAAAGCCACGGCUAACUACGUG
This 497-nucleotide ribosomal RNA is filed under the name uncultured bacterium. RNAcentral describes it as "partial 16S ribosomal RNA". It matches the Rfam family "Bacterial small subunit ribosomal RNA", at positions 28 to 507 of the family's 1533-position model. The record is from RNAcentral.